GCUCUCCCAUAUGGUCGACCUGCAGGCGGCCGCGAAUUCACUAGUGAUUCGUAUUACCGCGGCUGCUGGCACGUAGUUAGCCGGUGCUUAUUCUUCCGGUACCGUCAGCCUCCCAGGGUAUUAACCCAGAAGUUUUCUUUCCGGACAAAAGUGCUUUACAACCCGAAGGCCUUCUUCACACACGCGGCAUUGCUGGAUCAGGGUUGCCCCCAUUGUCCAAUAUUCCCCACUGCUGCCUCCCGUAGGAGUUUGGGCCGUGUCUCAGUCCCAAUGUGGCUGAUCAUCCUCUCAGACCAGCUACUGAUCGUCGCCUUGGUGAGCCGUUACCUCACCAACUAGCUAAUCAGACGCGGGCCGAUCUUUCGGCGAUAAAUCUUUCCCCGUAAGGGCUUAUCCGGUAUUAGCCCAAGUUUCCCUGAGUUAUUCCGAACCGAAGGGCGCGUUCCCACGUGUUACUCUCCCGUCUGCCGCUGCCGUAUUGCUACGGCCGCUCGACUUGCAUGUGUUAGGCCUGCCGCCAGCGUUCGCUCUGAGCCAUGAUCAAACUCUAAUCGAAUUCCCGCGGCCGCCAUGGCGCCCGGGAGCAUGCGAC
This 592-nucleotide ribosomal RNA is filed under the name uncultured Alphaproteobacteria bacterium. RNAcentral describes it as "partial 16S ribosomal RNA". Lineage: Bacteria; Pseudomonadati; Pseudomonadota; Alphaproteobacteria. The record is from RNAcentral.